Molecule: long non-coding RNA, 5369 nt
Filed under: Xyrichtys novacula (pearly razorfish)
Lineage: Eukaryota; Metazoa; Chordata; Actinopteri; Labriformes; Labridae
Source: RNAcentral
UGUGUGGCACAUGUUUUUUGUUAUGGGUGCUGUACUGUUGUGUAAGAUUAAAGACUGGAAUACCAGUAUUAGUGCGUUCUGUUUGGUCUUGUGAAUCAGACAGCAUAAUAGCAGAGCUUGGUUACUGCACUGUUGCAAAGUCCCUGGGGAAAAAGGUUUGGGACUUGAGAGUAGAUCUGUGAUGUGUUUUUGUAGAGGAAAGGAUAAAAUAACAGUUAUAGUGCAGAGAGAGAGAGAGAGAGAGAGAAAAACAGCCUGCUUGUGUCAGACUAUCCCAGAAACAGGGUGAACUGUAAAUGAACCUGUAUCUUCCUGCUGUUGUCUGGCUGCUUCUUCACAUUUACACCCGUGAAACCAUCCGACUCUGCCCUCACUUCCCCGCACUGAUGAUGAGCAGCUCUGCUGAUAGAUGCUUCAGAUGUCCACUGAGGCUCCAAUAAUCUUUUGAUCUCAGCCCCCAUUUCAACCGCAGAUCACAAGAUACUGCAGCAGCCAACCUUUGCUCAAGUCUCACCUCCCUCAUAUCAGGUUGCAUGAGAGGUUUGAAAAGAUGAACUCCUCACUGCAGGUACGCGCAGGUUUUUGACUCUAAAUGCAAAUGCACUAGUGUCAAAAUGUCAUGAAGCAUUCUUUGGUGAUGGAAACUUUGUUCUCUUCUAAAACGUAUCGUUCAAAAAAUGAUUCAGUCAUUUUAGUGUUUGAGUCUGGGAGACUGGGGGUCCUGUGACAGAGAGUGGCAGCACAUGAAUCCUUAACAGCAGAAAAGUCUCGUUCAUUUAUGGUGACCUCUGAUCUUCUCAUUGUUCUGCCGCUGUUCCUAUGGGCAGAUGGCUGCUCCUCCCUCUGUAAUGGGGGAGGGCGGGGGAGGGAGGUGGGGGGGACGUCCCUAGCCUUUCACAGAUUGCCGGUUCAAAGCAGGAGAUCCUUACAGUGGUACCUCAAGGCGAACCAACCUGCAACAGCCUGAAUGAUCCCCAUAAGAAUAAAAGGACUACAAAUGUAGAGGGGGAUGAAAACUACUGAAAAGAAGAGCUCUGGUUUCAAGUCACAACUCUAAGUUUUGUCUUACAAUCCUGAGAUUUAAUCAGGGUUUUCAUUAUUAAUCUCUCAGCCUCUUCUCUGGACUUGAACAACAGCAGCAGCUGCAGGGAUGUCCUCAGUCCUGAGGUUGAGGCAUAAAUGAGGCCUCUUGUAGGACAGCUUUAAUCUAGUAUAAGCUUGAAAAAACUUCAAUUAGUUGAUCAGUUUACAUUUGUGGAGACAGCCCUAAAGAGGUAGACCUCUGAUGACUGAUGGGGGGCCGGUGAUUUUGUUACUGGGUGUCGUGUUAUAAAAGGAAACCCUGUCCAAGCACUUAAUGACCCUCUCACACCUGCUCAAGUGUCACAGCAAAGCUGGAUAAUCUGUGAUGCUAUGUCCUUAUCAAAUCAAGAAUAACAAAGCGGAAGUUAAGGCCACAAAAACAAUAACUUCAUAACUUAUCUCAUUCCAUAUCAGUAAAGAACAAACAAACAAAGAAAUCUAUGAUCAGACUAACUUCGCUAACCUCCUCCAUCAGAGGGUGACGUUGAUUAGCAGCAGUUUUGUUGUCGGGCUGUCUCCUUCUGUGAUUUAUUGACGGAUGAGAGCCUUUAAUGUUAGAGGAGCUUUCAGAGUCCAGCUGUUCCCGUGUCUAGAGUUUCACUUCGGACUUUUUCCUUUUCAUCAUCACUAAGCAUGUUCGCUUUGUCUAAUACCAACACGGCUCACAAACCACAAACCUGCCUCAGUGCUGUUUUAAAUGUUCAUGAAGACAAAUGUAUUUAAUCUGAGAAAUAUAAAGGAGAGCCUACAGACCUGCACUAUGGAGGACAGAUUUACACAGGCCCAUAAAACAGAGGGAUUAGGGAGAGAAUGAGAGCUACACUGACAAGCAACAUACAACCUCUGCAUUUAUGCCCUAAAGCAUAACUCGCUCUUAUUUAUAACACUUAUUCUAUUUUCCUUGUUUAUGGUUUUCCUCUUCUAUUUUUCUUGACUACAUAGGAGUCUGUGGCAUUUUUGGAUGCAGAUAAAUCAACCCAACCAAGUAUUUUGCCCUUUACUAGUCACCGUGCUGUGUUUCUCCUGGGAAAUCUAUUUUUCUCUAUGCUAUUUAGUCAUUGUCUCUGCCCAAUAAAUCAUCCAGGAGUAUCGUACCACCUCAGUGCAUUUGUCUCAACACGUGCGUUGAGACCAGGUCUCAAGACCUCACAACUCCAUGACACCAGUAUCCACAUAAAGACCAAUUAAGUGGAUACCAUGCUGCAAAGAGAGAGACAAUACUAUACAGAGUAAUACAUGGAGGGAGGAGAAUCGGCGCUGAGAUAUUUAAGAGGCUUUUGGGGUAAACACUUUCUCUGAUAAGAGGGUAAAAGAUGGUGAAAUCUAUCUUUAAAAGCGGAGACUGUCCUCCACCAGUUUAUUUUGAUGUGUCUGCUCUUUGAGAGAAAAGACCACUGCUGCUCAUGAGCAAAGGAUGACAAUUUGAAUAAUGAUAUAGUUUCAACACAGAUGAAGGCUGGUGAGUCAACCACCUCCUCUGUGAAUGACAUUUACAAAAUGAUGAAGGAAAAGGUACGAGUUCAAGAGAGUAAUCAGGAUGUUUCCGCAGAACUAAAAUCAAUGUAGGCCAUCAAAUAAAGUUAGUUAGACAUAAUACUUUAUCUACCUUUGUGUACUCCAUCCAUCCAUCCAUCCAUCCAUCCAUCCAUCCAUCUUCUACUGCUAAUCAUCAGCCUAAGCAGAGAAGCACAGACUUCCCUCUCCCCGGCCACUUGUCCAGUUCUCUGCUGGGGACCUGUAGGUGUUCCCAGGCCAACUAAGAGACAUAGUCUCCAGCAUGUUUUGGGUCUUCCCCUUCUACUGGUUCUACUUUGGUUUUUGGCUCAGCUCCCUCUUUACCACAAGAGACUUAUGUAGCAUCUCACCUGUGGAUUUUUUUUUUGGCUGAGAACCAUUGACUCAGAUUUGGAGGUGCUGAUUAUCAUCCCAGCUGCUUUACACUUGGUUGCAAACUGAUCCAGUGAGAGCUGAAGGUCACGCCCUAAUGAAGCCAACAGGACCACAUCAUCUGCAAAAAACAGUGACCAAACCAGACCCCCUCUACACCCUGGCCACACACACACACACACACACACACACACACACACACACACACACACACACACACACACACACACACACACAUACACACACACACACACACACACACACACACACACAGUAGGGUUAAUUGAAAGUUAGUUGAAAGUGUAACUAAAGUCUGUUUCAGCAGUCAUGAGGUCUGACACCCACAGCAUCAUAAUUAAAAACAAAAUAUAAAUAAUUGGUUCCAUCACUGAUUUUCUUUUUCACUUUAGACGGUCGCACAGAGGCAUCUACCCAUGUGAGGACCUUUAGAUUACUUUAUUUUAGGGUGGGGUGAUUGAAAGGACAGUUUGUACUGAGGAGUAAGACUGCAGACUAAAUACAGAACACAAAGUUAGGCCCUGUUUUAAUGAAGAAUAGGAUAUGUUAUAUUUCAAAAACUCAUUUGUUUUUUUCAUAAAACAACCAAAGAGAACUGAACUUUAUUUACGAAGCUCAAAACACUAGCAGGUUGCAAAUGAAUAUAUUAGAGAAGGUUGAUUUAAAAAAAGUCAGAAAAAACAGAAUAAAUGGCGCUAGGACAUUAACAGAGGAGACUCAGUCUGAUUAUUAUGAUUAGGUUGAUGCAUAUUCAUGUUAUUUUUAUUUUUAAACAGGACUAGAGUUGCCAAUAAAGAUGAUGCAAUUUCAAAUGUGUGUCCUGCCAAUGCCAUACAGUUUGGAGAGAGAGCUAUCUAGUGGUAAUGUGUGUCACUACACAGAUCAUUGGUCCUGCAGUUUACAUGUCAUCUAAAGGGCUGUAAAUACUUAUCUCUGUGUGAUUUAUACUGAAGAUAGAAGACAAGUGGAAUAUUCCACCUAGAGGCAAAAGACUUGAUUGUUGUUUAAAAAGUCUGAUAAAUUCUGCACAGAUUUGUGUUGUUGAGAAUUAAAGUCUAAUCUAAAUAAUAAAAAAUUACAUUGGACAGCUGCAUGUUAACUCUGUCUUUAACACCAUGUUGUGUUAAGAGUCGAUAUAUAUUUCAAACACCUAAAAGAGUCUCUUAUGCAACAUACUAUCCAGUGUUUGACAAUGAUUAUUGAGUGAGGGGGCUAUGAUUGUAGUCAUGCAGGUAUAUACUUCAAAUACAAGGAGGCUUUUACUCAUUUAAAAAAAGCAAAGACAAAAAUGGUUUCAUAAGUUUUAAAACUCAAAUCAACAUAGAAAACAGGGUCCACAAACCCCGCUCUAUCCUUUUGUAAUCCUUCACAACUUUGUUUCGUGCCUCUCUAUUGCCAGAGCUAGUUUUUCUUCUUUUUAAUCAGACAUCAGUCAAUGAUUUCACAGUAGUUUCAAAGAUUUAAAAACACAAGUCCACUGAGUUAAAUAUGAUGGAAACAUUCAAAAAGAACCAGCAUAAUAAGACAUAUUGACCUUAUUGGAUUGAUGUUGUUGUAUUUUAGAUGUAUGCAGUAAUAAAAACACCAUUCUCCUUGUUAGUGUACACUCCAUCUGAAACAUUUCCAGUACUCUGCUGUUAGAAAGCACAUCGAUUGAUGCCCAAAACUCAGAUGAGCUGCUUGGCACACGCUGAUCAGCCCCUUGAGUCUGCUGGCUUCAAAGAAACAAACAAAAAAAGCAAUCAAACUUAAUAAUAAAUGUUUCUGAGAGCCUGAAUAACAAGCAGUGUACUGUGGACACAGGUGGACACCAUUACAAGCUGAAGUUUACAGAGAAAGUAUGAGAUUUAAAGCUGUGCUGGUGGUGGCAUUGAUAUAUUACGUUAACAUGAUAUUAAGUGAAAACUCUGUGAUCAACCAAGAAAAGUACUUUAUUCUAUGAGUGGGACAAGGUAACAGCAGUCUUCUAGGUCCAUGAGAUCACAUACAGCUGCAGUGCUCCAAUUUUUAACGACUUCCCCAUUCAGAAAACUAGAAAAACACCAUUACAAUGACAACAGCCAUGAGCUGCUGGAAGGGACAAGCCGAAAUCACAUACACUACUGCCUCUACUGGCUGCUGGAUAAUCUUGUUGCUCAAAAUUACGUCAAAAAUAAGAUGCAAAAGUUUUGUAAAUCAAAGACCUGAUUUAUGAAUCAGUGCACUUCAAGUAGAAGAGCACAUAUGAGCUGUGAGUGAUAAUAGGCCAAAAUGAGCGGCCUCUCUGGUACUAAAAAAAAACAUUCAGAAUAUUAAAACAUUUCGUCAGGGGUUUAUGCACAGGUGUUGAUACAGCUGUGGGGCAGCAGGUGUCAGUAAACUCACUGCUAUGUUAGCUCUGG